GGGCCCAUAGUUUAAUGGAUAGAAUACGGGGCUUCGGACCCCGUGGUCGAGGUUCGAUUCCUCGUGGGCUCA
RNAcentral lists this transfer RNA (72 nucleotides) under Candidatus Pacearchaeota archaeon. Its description in RNAcentral is "tRNA-Arg". It matches the Rfam family "tRNA". From Rfam's summary of the family: Transfer RNA (tRNA) molecules are approximately 80 nucleotides in length. Their secondary structure includes four short double-helical elements and three loops (D, anti-codon, and T loops). The record is from RNAcentral. Lineage: Archaea; Nanobdellati.